RNAcentral lists this ribosomal RNA (574 nucleotides) under Cladosporium cladosporioides. RNAcentral describes it as "eukaryotic LSU rRNA". The stretch from base 210 to 363 matches the Rfam family "5.8S ribosomal RNA". The record is from RNAcentral. Lineage: Eukaryota; Fungi; Ascomycota; Dothideomycetes; Cladosporiales; Cladosporiaceae.
GGAAGUAAAAGUCGUAACAAGGUCUCCGUAGGUGAACCUGCGGAGGGAUCAUUACAAGUGACCCCGGUUUACCACCGGGAUGUUCAUAACCCUUUGUUGUCCGACUCUGUUGCCUCCGGGGCGACCCUGCCUUCGGGCGGGGGCUCCGGGUGGACACUUCAAACUCUUGCGUAACUUUGCAGUCUGAGUAAACUUAAUUAAUAAAUUAAAACUUUUAACAACGGAUCUCUUGGUUCUGGCAUCGAUGAAGAACGCAGCGAAAUGCGAUAAGUAAUGUGAAUUGCAGAAUUCAGUGAAUCAUCGAAUCUUUGAACGCACAUUGCGCCCCCUGGUAUUCCGGGGGGCAUGCCUGUUCGAGCGUCAUUUCACCACUCAAGCCUCGCUUGGUAUUGGGCAACGCGGUCCGCCGCGUGCCUCAAAUCGACCGGCUGGGUCUUCUGUCCCCUAAGCGUUGUGGAAACUAUUCGCUAAAGGGUGUUCGGGAGGCUACGCCGUAAAACAACCCCAUUUCUAAGGUUGACCUCGGAUCAGGUAGGGAUACCCGCUGAACUUAAGCAUAUCAAUAAGCGGAGGA